Molecule: long non-coding RNA, 4712 nt
Filed under: Vigna radiata
Lineage: Eukaryota; Viridiplantae; Streptophyta; Magnoliopsida; Fabales; Fabaceae
Description: long non-coding RNA (VRAD_LNC009354)
Rfam family: tRNA (bases 2128-2199)
Source: RNAcentral
GAAAAGUGAAAAAAAAGAGAGUUGAGUAGAAUGAUUCCCGCUUAGGGUGCGAGAGGUUCCUAGUUCGUUCGUGGAAUGCAGUUUUCGUUUUUUUUUCACGAUUUGGAAGAUGACAGGCUUGACUUGGUAAAAGCUAUAGUCAAAUACCAACCAACUAACACCAGGUUUGAUUUCUAAUUUACUCUUUUCAACUUCCGGAACUUGGCGAACUUUACUUGUUAAGUCGAUUAGUUAAAUAAUAAUAAGCAUCAGAGGUCGCAUGUGAUUGUGAUGCGAUCAAUGAAUUCAUUAUUUAACUGCUUGCCAUGAAAAAUGUAGUACAAUAAUUUGCUGUAAGUCGUAGUUGAUAAUUAAAAUAUAAAACCAGAGACAAUGGUACAAGUCCGGUUAUAAAGAAAAUCAGGUAAAGAAUCUAAAUUAGGAGUGGUGCUCGCACAUUUAAUGCUCAAUAGUGCCAUGAAUUGAACUCUAUUGUCUCCAAAAACAGGGUAUCUGUACGGAGAACGUUGAUACAUUAAACCAGAGUGGUAAAUUAGUAAACUUACUUUGAUUGCCUGAUUAGAAAAAUAGGUUGCCUUGACUUUUAAUUGCCUAUCCAGGUAAUAGAAGUGAAGAGAACGUGGAAUGCAUAUAAAUUUCUAAAAUAAACCUGACAUAGACUUGACUUUGCCCAAAUCCUCUCGCUAUGGGCAUUUGGUCUAGUGGUAUGAUUCUCGCUUAGGGUGCGAGAGGUCCCGAGUUCAAUUCUCGGAAUGCCCCCUCUUUUUUUCUUAUCUUUACCUGAAUUGUCUUGAUGUGUUUUUCUCAUUGAGUAGGCAGAAGGAAAACCCUGCAUUCUCAGACAGAAUAUAAUACUUGCAGAUGCAUUUUUUUUCUUAAAGAACAGGUGAACGUGCAAAUCACAAUCUUAAAAGUCAAUUUUGUUUGUAUUGUGCUUGACUGUUGAUAUGUCUUUUAACAAUUAAGCUCCAAGACACUUGGCAUUGUUAUGAUUUACCUAUCUCUCCACACGGUAGCAAGCAUCAGUUUUAUCGCCUAUAUUGUGCUAUCUGAUCUUAACUAAGUAUGCGCCAUUUGAACUAUAUAUUCUGCAACGAAUUAAAAUAUUUCUUAAUCAACUAAAUAAGGAAGGAAGUUGUUGUUGAUGAUGCAUGACACCCUUAAAUAUCAAAUUCUUAUGAACAAAUGUAUCAACACAGUUAUAUCUUUAAAUACUUUGCACAUGUAAUUAGCACGUAUCUUAUUUUGUACUUUACAAACAUUCGGUGGAGUAUGUGAUUAACCUCCAUAUCAAAACAGCGGUGUUGAAUUUCAGAUCACUGCACUUAGAAGCAAUAUUAGAAUUGUGAAGUAAAAAUAACGUUUCAAAUUGUGUAAGAAAGAGAAUACAACUUACUGUCAUGUGGGAUGCUUAUAAAACAAUAAGCAUCAGGAGCUGAACGUGAAUGUGUUGGAAGAAUGAUUGAUAGUUUUCGCUGGAAGUUUUGAAGUAAUGAGUGUCAACUUGUCAACGUAAAUGUAAUUAAAUUAUAUGGCAAUUCAUGGGAAGUCUUUCAAUAUAUAAAACCAGAGGGGUAAGCUGAUAGGAUUCCUAAUAAGGAUCAUAAGGUGGAAAGUGCACACGGGCCUGUUAUUCAACAAGGAACAAUUAGGUCCAAAAUAUGGAAUGUUUAUGUUAGAAGAAAGAAAGGGGGGUUAGGAAAAGAAAGAGAAGUUAGUUAGGAUGGGAAAUGAUGUGUUAAGAAUCUGGGAAUGGGAGAAUUCUGUUAUAGGAGAGAGAAGGGCGAGUGUGAAACGGGUACAGGAGUAGGAGGUUGUGAGUUGGUUAGGAAGAGAGUGAUCCUCUGAAGGAGUCUAGUGAUCUGGGAUUUCCUUGUGGCUGUAGAGCUAUCAGCUCAAUAACCCUUUUUACUGCAUAAUAUUCUGAAUAAUAAAACUUGGAUAUUCAGUUAUUUCUUGGUCUAUCAUAAGCAAACUCUCUUUCAUAUUUUGACUAGGAAAACAAGUUAUCUUGACUGAUAAUUACCCAUCCAGAUAACCAAAUAUUACGAUUUGUAUGCAAUCUUACUUCAGAACUGAAGGCAAUGCACGCAUAAAAGAAUAAUUCAGCCCUGAAUCUUUCAAUAUGGGCAUUUGGUCUAGUGGUAUGAUUCUCGCUUUGGGUGCGAGAGGUCCCGAGUUCGAUUCUCGGAAUGCCCCUAUUUUUUUCAUAUUUAUCUGUGCCCGUAUUAUUCUCAAGUGUGUUUGUUAUUUUUUUUUAACGCGUGCAUUUCUUAUUGACUAGACAUAAAGCGCACACUACAUUCUCAGCCUACUUGCAGUUGUGUUUCGUAUUGACUUCCAGUUGUGUUUCUUCCACCAGAAAACCAGGAGAAGAUGUUAAUCAAUCUUAACAAUCUGGCUGCAUUAUAGCAUCCACAGUUAAUCCCAAAGACUGCUUGCCAUGCCAUGAUACACUUAGCAGUUGAUUGACAUCUGUAUCUCUCUGUUAGUUUGCAGGUAUACGUCAAAACUCUGAGAUUAGUAUGUGAUCUUGUGUUUCAAUUUGAACUUUGCAUUCUCCAAUGAAGUAAUAUUGUUGAAUCAGCUAUAUCAUUUCGAAAGUUUUGUCUGGAAGCUUUUCUCUAAUAAGUGACAACUUGCCAAUGAAAGUUUAAUAAAAUUAUAUGGCAAAUCUUAGGAUGUCUUUAAAUAUAAAACCAGAGAGGAAUAAACAACUCUCUGUGAUACCUUGUCAUGGAAACAAGUUAUCUUAACUGAGAAUUCCCCCACCCAGGUAAGUAGAUCUCACCAUUUGUAUGCAACUAGUUUUUUGACCUUAGCAAACACACGAAUAGCUUAGAUUAUAGUAUUUUGUUAGUACCUCAUAAACAUAAUCAAUAAUCAUGCAAUACUAUAUUUCGAUAACAAAAUCAUAUAUCAUCAUUCAUAUUAUAUGUUCAAAUUAAAGUAUACAUAAAUGGUUUCAAAUAUCAAUGUCGAUGUUAAUUAAAGUUGAUAUAAAGAAUGUGGCAUCACCUCAAAACAUUAUAUUAGUAUAAGAAGGCUUUUAUUGACAAUGAGGGUUUUUAUCGACAUCUUCCAUCUGCCAUUAUUCCAGUAAGGAAGUCAAAACAUAACUUUGAUAAACAUACCUUAUAAUUGAAAUAAAACUUAAAAUAAGAAGGUACCUUAGAUCAGUUGCAAAAUAUUGUACUUGUUUCUUUUUAAAGAGUUUCAAAGAUUUCUUUGUACGCACAUUUUUAGUUGUAGUACUAACAUUUCCAACUUCGUCCAGAAUUAGGAUUUUCAAUCCUUUCUUUAUUUUGACUCUAGAAAUAGCAACAUACAAUUGGCCAUGUGUAAAUACUGGACAUGACAAAUAAAGUCCAAUUCUAGUAAGAGAUUGCCCUUGACUCUUAUUAAUUAUCAUUGCAAAGCAGAGUGAUAUCGGAAAUUGUCUUUGCAAUUUAAAAAAUAAUAAAAAAUCAAAAGAAACUAAAUUUAUUCUUGGUAUAAAUAUAUUUUUACCAAUGCUUUUUCUGUUAUCAGAGUAGCAGAAAUCACAUACCCCACAAAACCGGCUUGUAAGGUGAGGUCAACACACCCCCUUCACGCCAAUGUAUAUACAUAUCGAGCGUGAGACUAGAUAUUAAUGGGUGGUCCGAUAACGGCCCAAUAGUGGGUGGAACAAUAUGCCCAACAAAUAUUGCUAGGAUAGGCUCUAACCAUAGCUCUGAUAUCAUGUUAGAAGUGAGUUUUAGGCCUAACUCAACCUCACAAAACCAGCUUGUAAGGUGAGGUCUGCACCCCACUUAUAUAUUAUAAAUUGGCCUUAUCUCUAUCCGAUGUGGGACUUCCAACAACUUGCAACCUCGUGUUAUUACAAAGACUUUUUACUUGAUCAAUAUUUCUUAGAGGCAUAAUUGGCACAUCUACUUUCAACUUCAAUUGAUGAUUUGAUAUGUCUGAACAUUUUAUCUCAUUCAAGAAUUAUAAUGUAAACUACUCAACUUGAAUAAACAAUUUUAAGUGAAUAUCAGUCAAAGAUUGAACUUGGACCUAUUCAAUUAAUGUGGGCAUUUGGUCUAGUGGUAUGAUUCUCGCUUUGGGUGCGGGAGGUCCCGAGUUCGAUUCUCGGAAUGCCCCCAAUUUUUUCAGAUCUAUCUGUGCCUUUUUUGUCCUCAUGUGUGUUUUGUCAUUGGCUUGGCUCAAAGAAAGGCACUGGAUUCUUGUUCAGAUUAGAAUACUUGGUUUCGUUUCUUCCACCAAAAAAAAAUAGGAGCUGUGAAUCACAGUUUUAACUAUCUGGUUUUAUUAGUCUUUGCAGCUGAGAACCAAGACAGGUUGGCAUGAAGCACCAAAAAGCUGCUUUGGUUUCUGUAUCUCUCCCACAAGUUUUCAAGCAACAGUCCCGACACCAAGAUGCUGGUUUGUGAUCUUGUGUCUAUGUAUGACAUUUGAACCUGCAUUCUAGAAUGAAGUAAUAUUGCUAAAUUAACUAUUGCUAUUUUAAAUUUAAUAAGGAAGAAGGUUGUGAAUUGUUUCCAUGGUGCCUGCCACCCAAAACUAUAAUAUAGUUGUCUUUUUUUAAGUAAUAAAACCCAUUAGAAAUUAUCAAGUAUCUUAUUUUCUAGUUUAUAACACUCAGAUUGAAUAUUUGAUGUUCUACAUAUAGAUUCACAUGCUGUUUGAUUUUAUUCAAGCUAGUCAGACAGGAAAAUGAAAACUAG